UAACGAAUCUUCCGCAAUGGGCGAAAGCCUGACGGAGCAAUGCCGCGUGUGGGAUGAAGCGCCUUCGGCGUGUAAACCACUGUCAGGGAAUGGAACCAAUGAUUAUUCCCAAAGGAAGUGGCGACUAACUCUGUGCCAGCAGUCGCGGUAAUACAGAGGCCACAAGCGUUAGUCGGAAUCAUUGGGCUUAAAGGGUGCGUAGGCGGGCCCGCAAGCGUCUUGUGAAAUCCCAUGGCUCAACCAUGGAAUUGCAGGGCGAACUGCGGGUCUUGAGGCAGGUAGGGGCCGGAAGAACAGUAGGUGGAGCGGUGAAAUGCGUAGAUAUCUACUGGAAUGCCGAUGGGGAAGCCGUCCGGCUGGGCCUGUCCUGACGCUGAGGCACGAAAGCGUGGGGAGCAAACAGGAUUAGAUACCCCGGUAGUCCCUGAGCGGGCUGGCAAGGCGCAU
This 447-nucleotide ribosomal RNA is filed under the name uncultured bacterium. RNAcentral's name for it is "bacterial SSU rRNA". It matches the Rfam family "Bacterial small subunit ribosomal RNA", at positions 355 to 825 of the family's 1533-position model. The record is from RNAcentral.